This is a non-coding RNA of Myotis davidii, 75 nucleotides long. NCBI's taxonomy places the organism in Eukaryota, Metazoa, Chordata, Mammalia, Chiroptera, Vespertilionidae. The record is from Rfam.
GGUAGUUCUAGGGUGAUGCACCCCAGAAUUGCGCUCCCCCCUCUCUGGUUCCAGGUAUGUCACCUGAGAACUGCA